Long non-coding RNA from Oncorhynchus tshawytscha (Chinook salmon), 2946 nucleotides. Lineage: Eukaryota; Metazoa; Chordata; Actinopteri; Salmoniformes; Salmonidae. The record is from Ensembl.
GUAGAGAGAAAGAGAGGGUAGGGGUAGAGAGAAAGAGAGGGUAGGGGUAGAGAGAAACAGAGGGUAGGGGUAGAGAGAAAGAUAUGGAGAACAAUGCCUUCACAUUGGCCGGGAGAAAGAAAAAGAGAAAUAGAAAGAGGACAAGCCUUGACGUGGGCAACACAUCCACCCUGGCCACUGCUGCGGAGACCGCAGGGCUGGCAUACUGAGACCGCAAGGCUGGCAUGCUGAGACCGCAGGGCUGGCAUACUGAGACUGCAGGGUUGGCAUACUGAGACCGCAGGGUUGGCAUACUGAGACCGCAGGGCUGGCAUACUGAGACCGCAGGGCUGGCAUACUGAGACCGCAGGGCUGGCAUACUGAGACCGCAGGGCUGGCAUACUGAGACCGCAGGGCUGGCAUACUGAGACCGCAGGGCUGGCAUACUGAGCUCCUAAAGAGAACAGUAUGUUUGUCUAAGAGAAAAUGAACUCCUGCAUUCACACAGUCAACAGCUGCUGCAGCAGUUGAGAUCUGCUAAAAGCUAAAAGCAGAUGCUGAAAGGAGAAUGGGUUUCAAAUGUACCGUGUCUAUCCAUGUCUCAGUUCAAUCAGUAUCGGUGGAAUAUUCCAAUUUCUGUACAAUGCUGUAACUCCAUUUUGAGUCAUCCAUGUUUGUGGCUCUUACGCCAUAGAUGUUGACUGGUAGAUGGAUAUGUUUGUGUUUUAUCCUUCUCCUUUGUCUUUUGCGUGAGUUGGCUAAAACAGAAACAAAUCUGGCGCAAAGCUCCAUGUUCACUGUCACCUUUUGCACCAUUAUGGCCUUUUGAUGUGUUUGAAUGACUAACCGUCCUCAGGUCUAGACGCUGUCACCAUUAUGGCCUUUUGAUGUGUUUGAAUGACUAACCGUCCUCAAGUCUAGACGCUGUCACCAUUAUGGCCUUUUGAUGUGUUUGAAUGACUAACCGUCCUCAGGUCUAGACGCUGUCAGCAGCAGCAAUGGAUAUUUUCCAGGACUCUAUAAUAUGCAGUAGUAGGCUGUUAACAGUACAGUUCCGUAAUGAAUAGCAGAUCCCUUUGGUUCCCUCGGCCUACUCAUUCACAUUUCGUUAUUAAGGGCUUCAGUUAAUAUCGUCUUCAACAACAUUUUAUAUCACAAAACACCUACAUGUUAUUACGAAACAGUGUUAAGUUAACCUCCUUACACACACGCACGUAUGUACAAAUACAUGCUCCCACAAAUGUAGGCAUGCACGUACACACACAAACACACACGCCCCCCUCCGACACACACAGUCAAACUCUUUAAUCAAUAAAAGCUGUAGAUGAAAUCACACUGAAUAGACCUUAGAUGUGUCUUUACAGGGCUAUUUAACAAUGUAAAACAAACAUAUUAUAGGCUAAUAUGUGUUUUUUAAUUUAAUUGUAUGGUGCUUGUGUACAGUUGCUAUUGACAUAACAAAAUAGUCUAUUCUAUGUGUUGCUUUUCAAUGUUUGUAUUGUGUUCCAUCAUUUUAAUAACAACUUUGUAUAUGUUUGGUUAGUAUUCAUCACAUCCACUUCAUCAUUAUCUUGUACUGUACAAUACAUAUCCCAUGCUGUUGGACUAUCUAGCGUUGGGAUUUCUAUAAUGGCCAGUUUGCUAACCAGUUAUCCGAUGCAAUAAUGUUUGAAACCAUAUGUAAGCUGAGGGUGUGAGCUAUGGUACUUAUUUAAUAUGCAUAUGGAACGAUUGUGCUGUCAGGGACUCAAAUAACUCCCAAAACCAAAUAUUUGUUUAAUGUGUGACCAAAGUAUACUUUCAUGAAAAUAAAUUAGCAAUUCUUAUGUCAAAUGGUUUCACAUGAAGAUUUGUUUCAUGUUAACCCAUUUACUAAAGAUAUUUAUUUUGAGUCCACUAUUACUAGGUUUCUAUUCAACCAUUUCGUGAGGAUGAAUUACCUGAUGCAUGAAAAUAGUCACGAACGGACUGAUGCUAACAUAAUAUGACGGUACAAUUUUAUUAAUGUCUACAGACAAUUUGUUUGUUCGACAUGGUGGAAUCUUUUUGUGUUAGUAAAAUUAUGUAUGCGAGAAAUGCCGGUAGAAACGCCUUUAUGCUCAAAUAUUGAUAUAAUAACCAUCAUAUGGACGUUAACUUGGAGUCAUGCGAUGAUAUGUUGUGUGGUCCUCCCACUACGACUCAGGAAACCAUGUAGUUUAUUAGGCUACUGAUUAAAUAACAAUGAACUUCACAGGGUGGUGAAAGAGCAAGCUGAUGAGCUUGAUGCUCCUUUCUAAUCAAUAUCCAGGGUCUUAUUCUGGUGACAUGAACUGAUGCUUGGCUGCCGCUUGAAAAUAAAAAAUAAUAUUGCUCUUAUCCACAAUAAUCUAAUAAUGUAGGUAACCUACCUGCACUGUGUCUGUGAGCUGUUGGCUAACACGCACUUGCCAAUACCAGAGUGGGCAUAUAAAGCAACAGUUAGUCUGACAAAACCAUCAGUAGAGUUGAAAAUGCGAUUGAAACCCAUUUAACUUGUGAUUUUCAUUCUGUACAUGGCAAUUUAACCGCAGAAGGUAAUUGUAUUUACACUACGUCAUCACACACAGCCUUUUAUCAGCAAUAAGUCCAUUUGAUGGAAACACCUCUCAUGUGAGCAUGUUAUUUUAUGCAGAUUUUAGAAUAUUCGCAUCAAAUUGGAUGGAAACCUUGCUAAUGUUGUUAUGCCUAAUUGGUGUGUUUGUAUGGAAAACCGGAAUUGGACUUGGUGAUGUCUGCCCUCGGAAUAGCUGGGAUAGCUGUGGUUCAGUACUAGCUGCCUUGACUGCACAGCUGACUUACAGCCCAAAUAUCACUACAUUCAUUACUGUGAACCAAUAAAAAAACAGAUGCAAAGUUGUCUACCCUGCCUGUUUUUUUCUGAUCUUCUUGAUUCUCUUCGUCUUAAUUCUCUUUGACUUUAUGUCUACCCAGCCCAGCUCUAAAAAC